CACACACGCCUACACACACACACACACUCAGAGCACCCACAAUAAUCCACACAAUCUCCAAAAAACAAGUUCUUAUGAGGUUACAGAAAUAAAUUAACACUUUGCUUCAUUGCCUUUAUUUAUUCUCUUCAUUCUCUUUUCUCUGCUGCCUGAGGUGUAAGUUUCAACUUCUUGCUUCUUAUAAUGUAUAGUUGAUGCACAUGCAGUACACAUACUGUAUGUGUGAUGCACAUGCAGUAUGAGAGGUGAAACCUCCUGAAGUGAGACUGCACCUGCUACCUUCCUUUUAUCUUACUUCAUAAAGUGGGAAGACAGACUACAAUGAAGAAUUGAGAAUUGAGUGGACUUGAAUAACACAAGACAAAAGACUAUGCUCAGUGAGGAUUAAAAUUUUUAAAAUAAUGCUUUGAAAAAGGUAGCCAAGCAUUAAAACAUCCAAGUUAAACAGUGAAACAAAUGUAACCUUUAUUGGUUCGGCUAUACUGUACUGUAUAAUAAAGUAUUGACCAAGCAUUUCUUUGUGAGGGUCACAGAUAAUGUUUCAAUACAGAUAGCUAUGUUUAUUUUUCCGUUACUUAUUCUGACUUCAUUUGCAGCUAAGCCUUUCUCUCUACAACAAAUAUGACAGAUUUUUAUGGUGUGCUGCAAUUUAACAGAGGCCAUUCAGAUUUUCACUCAGGACUCUUUGUGUAUUGAUCUCUGUGAUUGUGAUCUGAUCAACACUAAUCUAUUCUGCCCCCUUCAGUCAGUCAAACAGCUGCAGGCCUGUCUCUGUACUGACUCACUGAUCAGUUAUUAAAGGUGUAUUUAUUCAUCACUCUGCCUGGCUGCACAGACACACACUUAUUGUUCUCCUCUGUCCAACCGCAGACACACACACACACACACACACACACACACACACACACACACACACACACACAGGGUUCUGGCAGCAUUCCAGCUGUAAUUCUGUCUGAACACUCCAUUCUGGCUUCAUUAUCACUGGACCUCUCUUUACAGUAGGGAGAGAACACAGGGUGCUGUCAGACUAGGUCAAGGGGAUAGAAAAGAUUCUGGCUACAAGUGUGUGUGUGUGUGUGUGUGUGUGUGUGUGCGUGUGUAUCUAUUUCCUUUUAUAGGAGUAUUGGACAGCUAUUAGGGCUGCUGCCUCCAGCUGAGCUUCUCUAUUCUAGUGAACACUUGCUCUGUUACUCACUUUUCGCGUAUUUUGGUUUACUCACUCUACACUUCAUCUUCACAUUCCUUUUUUAUCCUCCAUCUAGUGUUCCCUCCAUUCUGCUCUCUUCUUUCUCUCUAUCUCUUCAUGCCUCAUCUGGUCUUAGCAGCAACAGCAGCCCCUCAUAGACUCUCUGUCCUGCUUAUUUAUCCCUCCAUCCCUUCAUCCCUCUCUUCUCCGCCCCUCCUUGGCAUGGCAGCCUGUCAUUAGUUCUGAGCUCACAGACUCAUGGCUUUAAUUUUGGCCUGCCUGCCUCUCUGUCUCCGGCCAUUUUGCAUCUGGUUUCUUCUCAAGGCUUUGCUGUUCAGUAUGUGUGUGAGUGUUUAGGGGCUGCAUAGCAUAUGUGCAUGUAAAAAAUUUGGAAGAGAUGUGCAUAUCCGUUAUGUGAAUGUAUAAAGGGUUAUGAUGAUGCAAAAAGGCUUUCAUCCCCAUAGUCCAUUAAGUGUAUAUACUGUAUGUGUGUGAAUUUUUGUGUGCACAUGCCAUGAAGGUUUAGUGUGUUGUGUAUAUUAGUCAAACAUUAAAUUAAAAUUUAAUUUAAUUGUAUGUCAAUAAAAGUUGUAAAAAUGUAUGAGGGUUAGGCAGAUUAUGGAAGCCAACAACAGCAAGUAUAACAUAUCAUAUGUAGAGAUAAAACAGAUUUGUAUAAAGCAAAGAAGUUAUGACAACUUUCCAACAAAAGUAGGAUGUGUAAAGUAAUUCAAAACAUGACACCUUCCUGCACAAUCUACACAGGCAAGCAUUCCAGGGACCUGAGGUACAACAGCAAAGGUUCACUCACUUUAGCCUUCAGCCUAGGUGACUCAUGAUCUGCUGUGGACCAGCUCACAGGGGGUCAAACAAGACAGAAAACAUAAGACAUAAAGUGGAAAAGAGUUCAUCUUAAGCUGAAAUGCCACCAGCUCCACCUUGAGAAUCUACAAGACUUGCCCUACAAAAAUUUGGUCUUUUUGCUGUGUGACAGAGGACCAAUAUAGACCUACU
Molecule: long non-coding RNA, 2203 nt
Organism: Siniperca chuatsi (mandarin fish)
Lineage: Eukaryota; Metazoa; Chordata; Actinopteri; Centrarchiformes; Sinipercidae
Exons: 2
Source: RefSeq, a predicted model, not a curated record